UGAGCAAGCUGUGGUUUUGAUAAUUUCUCACUUGAACUUUCUCUGAAACAUUCCUGUCUAUCUUGUCCAGGUUAACAAGCAGAGGGAUCUGUUCUGCCCAUGGGCAGGUGGGGUGCCGUUUGUGGGCAGGAGGCCUUGGUCAUGGGACACAGUGGUGUUGGCUGGGCUGUUCCAGGACGAGUUGCCGAGCUGGCGCCAUCAGCAGGUCUCUGGCUUCCACUCACGUCCAUCCUGCUGGAUGUAGCUUCUUCCAGGCUGUUGGGUGGUUGGGUGGGUUUAUCCCUCAGCCUAAACCUGUCCUCAGGAAGCCAGGCCCCUGCUGCUCCUUCUAUCUUCACCAUGUCUCCAAGGGGAGGGCACACUGCCUACCCCAGGGACGGGCACAACAGGGGAUUCCCCUGGCACAGGUGGACAAACAGGCUGCUCAUCCUUGGAUCUGAACAACUGACCAGAGACAGAUGUGUGUGCAUUGUGGGACUCCCCACUGGACCCCUAGAGCAGUCACUUGAGUCAACCACAGGAGUCUCACCUGAGUGCCUGGUUGGCAAUGAUAUAGGCCCCAGGUGGCUUAUGAGUAGCGUCUAGGCAACUGAUGGAUUCUUAGUGGAUCCUGCUGAAAGGACGUUAAGAGCUUCAUGUAAACGGGGAAGCAAAGCAUCCUGUCACCCCCUUCCCUGUUGAUCAGAGGUGGCACCUUGUGGGUCCAGUUCCUGAGUGGAUAAAGAAAGAGUUCAGUGCAGGCGAAUAUCCUGAGUUGUUCUUUGGGGAGGAGAAGGGUUUGGCAUUGCCUCUGUCCGGCAUGGGGGAGAGACACUCCAGGGGACUGGGGCAGGCAGGAGCCACUCAACAACCAGACUCCCAAGACACCCCAUCCUCUCGAUCCACGGCUCGGCCCAGGGCCAAGCUUUGAGAGCUCAGGGGACAAGACUGUUGUCAGUGGUGGGGCUGGGGGUUAGGCAAGGAUGUUGGAACAGGGCCUCUGGCUGAGAGGGGCAAGCGGCCUCUCCUCUGUUGGCCCCUCAGCAACUCACUGCCCCUGUUUGGUCCUCUGUCUCCCCAUCAGGGAAAUGGAGGUAUGGUGAUUGUGUGGUGAUUGUGUGGUGCAGGCCUCACAGGGUGGUAAUGAGGUAAGAGGGAGGAAAGGAAUGUGGGAGCUUUCUGCCUGCUCCACCUGGAGGGGUGAGGGCCAGAACAAUGAUGACAGUCAUGCGACAGUGAGUCCUCAGGAGAACCUGUGAGGUAGCUGGAGUUCUCACACUUUCCAGAUGAGGAAACAGGCUCGGGGAGGCCAGGCCAAAAGCCCGAGCUCACACCCAGAGUGAGAGUUGGAGCUGGGCUUGUUCUGGAAUCACAAGACCUUGCAGGGUGGAGUGGCAUUGGUGCCAGUUCACUGGAGUCAGAUGUUCAGGGUCAGAGGCCAGUGGUGCUCAAGAGAAAUGGGGUGAGGGGAGUAUGGUCUCGCUGACACUGUCCUCGACUCUGGCAGGAGGGGCCCUCCACGUUUGCCCCCCGGAGGGCAACCCCCAGAGAGUGCAGGAGAAGCAGCAGCAGCAGCAGGGGAAUGAGAUCAACCUUGAGAAGAGGACUGAGG
This is an RNA transcript of Diceros bicornis minor, 1591 nucleotides long. It is a transcript of the gene named ral-GDS-related protein-like, with no coding region annotated. NCBI's taxonomy places the organism in Eukaryota, Metazoa, Chordata, Mammalia, Perissodactyla, Rhinocerotidae. The record is from RefSeq and is a predicted model, not a curated record. The transcript is spliced from 2 exons.